CACACCACACGGCCGCUGAGACGUCAACAGAAGCCGCCAUUAAUUUCUGACUUCUACAACAGGAAUUGCAGUGCAACAGUGCCAGUCAUCAAAUACAGACAAGAAUUGACUUUUAUUAACUUAUGUCUAACAGAACUCUUUUGACUGCAACUUCAAUGUAAGAUGCUCUGUAACCCUAGAGGAGGUGGAGACUGAAAACUGAAGUCAUCCUUGCUGGUUUCUUUAGAGGAUUGAUGCAGAAGAGUGAAGGGCUGUCUGCUACCUGAUGCAGCCAACAGUCUCUUUCAAACCUAGGGAGCUGGAAGGUUAGGUGAUCAGUGCCGAGAAGUGGAUAUAGCAUGGCAGCAGGAGUUGAUGCCUUAAGAGGUGUUGGAGUGGGUCACACGUUAGCCCAGCAUCAAGUGCCACAACAAUAUCCUACUUCUCCUUGGAAAGGCACAUGUUAUCAUUAUGGAUCCUCUGCUUCAAGGCAGUUAAUUACAUCAUCAAUAUAGGUACAUCUUUCGAGAGAGAGAGAAAGUGGGCCGGUGAUCUGUGAAGAUGUGGCACCACUGGUUUCCACGCCCUGCCGGUGAUCUGUGGAGAUGUGGCACCACUGGUUUCCACGCCCUGUCUGCCAUUUCUCACAGCAGCUAGUAUAGGCAUCUCAUUUUCAGACCACUCUUCACUACCAUCCUGAUACGCUUCUUCCCACACCUGCUAUUCCUAACCUUCCAUAGAAACACCUUCCUAACUAUUCUUAGUUCACUUUUGCUAUAUAACCUAGCCUUGAAUCUCAAUGUUGCUUUUACAUGCCUCUCUCUGAAAGUACUCCAUUCCAUGUCUCCCCACUCAACGCCUUUAUCACUGCAUACCCUGGUGCAUUAAGUGCCCCACUAGCUACUAUUCUGUCCUACUACUUGUAACUUAACUUCAUUUUCAUUCCAUGCAACAGCCACGCUCUUCCAAAACUUCUUGCAGUAUGUCAUAUUUGUGUGCUGCAGUUCCUAGUUGGCCUAUCGGCUGGUUCACCAAGCUCAUCUUUUCAUUCUUCACUUUCACACAGCCAUUUGGACUUGUCCACAUUCCCAGACACUUGUAUUUAUCAGUCUGUUGCACCUCAGUCUCUCCCAGUCUCCCCACAUGGAGUUUCUCUCAUCAUCUGACCUUCUCACAAUCAUUUCUUGCUUUUUCCGAUUGCUAAAUUAAACUCUAAAACUCUAAAGUCUCUUCUAUACCCAUCUACAACAGACUUUGGAGCAUACAAGAACACACAUCAUUUCCCUACCCCUUACUUCUGCAUUCAUCCUUCUCAUUCUGGCAGCCAGUUCCUCUGUAUGUAAAUUAAAGAAGGUUGGUGACAGUAUACAACCUUUCUUAACUACUUUUUCACUCUUUACCCAGUCUGUUUCUUUAUCCUUUAGUCUGUAUCUAGCCCUUUUGCCCACAUGCCAACUAUCUCUGCACUCCUCUAAUCUUUUCUAAGACUGCUUUAACAUUCUUCUAUUCACCCUGUCAUGUGCUUCUCUAUAUCCAGAAAAGCUAA
This is a long non-coding RNA of Portunus trituberculatus (swimming crab), 1525 nucleotides long. RefSeq lists it as uncharacterized. NCBI's taxonomy places the organism in Eukaryota, Metazoa, Arthropoda, Malacostraca, Decapoda, Portunidae. The record is from RefSeq and is a predicted model, not a curated record. The transcript is spliced from 5 exons.